AGAGCCUGUUCAUGGCUCAGGAUGAACGCUGGCGGCGUGCUUAACACAUGCAAGUCGAACGAACCUUCGGGUUAGUGGCGGACGGGUGAGUAACGCGUGAGAAUCUGCCCUCAGGAGGGGGAUAACAGCUGGAAACGGCUGCUAAUACCCCAUAUGCCGCGAGGUGAAAUGAAUUUCGCCUGAGGAUGAGCUCGCGUCUGAUUAGCUAGUUGGUGUGGGUAAUGGCUCACCAAGGCAUCGAUCAGUAGCUGGUCUGAGAGGAUGAUCAGCCACACUGGGACUGAGACACGGCCCAGACUCCUACGGGAGGCAGCAGUGGGGAAUUUUCCGCAAUGGGCGAAAGCCUGACGGAGCAACGCCGCGUGAGGGAUGAAGGCCUCUGGGCUGUAAACCUCUUUUAUCAAGGAAGAAGAUCUGACGGUACUUGAUGAAUAAGCCACGGCUAAUUCCGUGCCAGCAGCCGCGGUAAUACGGGAGUGGCAAGCGUUAUCCGGAAUUAUUGGGCGUAAAGCGUCCGCAGGCGGCCCUUCAAGUCUGCUGUUAAAAAGUGGAGCUUAACUCCAUCAUGGCAGUGGAAACUGAGGGGCUUGAGUGUGGUAGGGGCAGAGGGAAUUCCCGGUGUAGCGGUGAAAUGCGUAGAUAUCGGGAAGAACACCAGUGGCGAAGGCGCUCUGCUGGGCCAUCACUGACGCUCAUGGACGAAAGCCAGGGGAGCGAAAGGGAUUAGAUACCCCUGUAGUCCUGGCCGUAAAACGAUGAACACUAGGUGUCGGGGGAAUCGACCCCCUCGGUGUCGUAGCCAACGCGUUAAGUGUUCCGCCUGGGGAGUACGCACGCAAGUGUGAAACUCAAAGGAAUUGACGGGGGCCCGCACAAGCGGUGGAGUAUGUGGUUUAAUUCGAUGCAACGCGAAGAACCUUACCAGGGUUUGACAUCCUGCGAAUCUCUUGGAAACGAGAGAGUGCCUUCGGGAGCGCAGUGACAGGUGGUGCAUGGCUGUCGUCAGCUCGUGUCGUGAGAUGUUGGGUUAAGUCCCGCAACGAGCGCAACCCACGUCUUUAGUUGCCAGCAUUUAGUUGGGCACUCUAGAGAGACCGCCGGUGAUAAACCGGAGGAAGGUGUGGAUGACGUCAAGUCAUCAUGCCCCUUACAUCCUGGGCUACACACGUACUACAAUGCUACGGACAAAGGGCAGCAAGUUCGCGAGGACAAGCAAAUCCCAUAAACCGUGGCUCAGUUCAGAUCGUAGGCUGCAACUCGCCUACGUGAAGGAGGAAUCGCUAGUAAUCGCAGGUCAGCAUACUGCGGUGAAUACGUUCCCGGGCCUUGUACACACCGCCCGUCACACCAUGGAAGUUGGCCACGCCCGAAGCCGUUACUCCAACCCUUGUCAGGGGGGACGUCGAAGGUGGGGCUGAUGAAAGGGGUGAAGUCGUAACAAGGUAACCUA
This 1450-nucleotide ribosomal RNA is filed under the name uncultured bacterium. RNAcentral describes it as "bacterial SSU rRNA". It matches the Rfam family "Bacterial small subunit ribosomal RNA". The record is from RNAcentral.